UUUGUUAAGUUCUUAAGAAACGAACUCGUAUCAUUUAAGGGUUUCGAAGGUAUAUUCAUCUGAGUUGGAAUAGAAGAGGCCACUAGCUCUGAUUCAGUGUCAGAAUUUUGAAACAUUUGGGUUUCUUGUUUUGGUAUUUAGGAACCAGUGGAAGGAUGGACUGUGGUUGGUUGUGAAGUUGUUUGGAGACUGGAAAUUGGAUAUUGAGAUGAAGAUGGGGUGUACAUAUUUGGCUUUUUUCUUAACUGGGGGAAAAACAUUGCUUUAGGAAAAUUUCUUUCCUGUUCAAAUGUUCUUAAUGGUUUGAAACUAAAAUUUCUGGAAGAAGUGAUACCAAUGGCUAGGUAAAGAGCUCUUGUGGGAUGAAAAGGGUCUGGAUUUCUUAAAGUGGUAUAAGCCUGGGCAUGUGGGAUUGGUAACAAAGGUUGGUACUGUGAUUGGUAUUGGUACUGAGGAUAUUGGGAUUGGUAUUGUGAUUUCCAAAGGUCUUUUUC
Molecule: long non-coding RNA, 494 nt
Filed under: Amborella trichopoda
Lineage: Eukaryota; Viridiplantae; Streptophyta; Magnoliopsida; Amborellales; Amborellaceae
Description: long non-coding RNA (ATRI_LNC003905)
Source: RNAcentral